Molecule: ribosomal RNA, 274 nt
Filed under: uncultured bacterium
Lineage: Bacteria
Description: partial 16S ribosomal RNA
Rfam family: Bacterial small subunit ribosomal RNA
Source: RNAcentral
GGUCUCCUACGGGGGGCAGCAGUGAGGAAUAUUGGUCAACGGUCGGGAGACUGAACCAGCCAAGCCGCGUGAGGGAUGAAGGUACAGAGUAUCGUAAACCUCUUCUGUCAGGGAACAAAGGCGGGGACGUGUCCCCGGAUGAGUGUACCUGAAGAAAAAGCAUCGGCUAACUCCGUGCCAGCAGCCGCGGUAAUACGUAGGUGGCAAGCGUUGUCCGGAUUUAUUGGGCGUAAAGCGAGUGCAGGCGGGUCAAUAAGGCUGAUGUGAAAGCCAU